CCUACGGGAGGCAGCAGUGGGGAAUAUUGGACAAUGGGCGCAAGCCUGAUCCAGCAAUGCCGCGUGGAUGAAGAAGGUCUUCGGAUUGUAAAGUCCUUUCGGCGGGGACGAUGAUGACGGUACCCGCAGAAGAAGCCCCGGCUAACUUCGUGCCAGCAGCCGCGGUAAUACGAAGGGGGCUAGCGUUACUCGGAGUGGCUGGGCGUAAAGGGCGCGUAGGCGGUUUGGUUUGUUAGGUGUGAAAUUCCUGGGCUUAACCUGGGGGCUGCACUUAAGACGGCCAGGCUUGAGUGUGAAAGAGGGUCGUGGAAUUCCCAGUGUAGAGGUGAAAUUCGUAGAUAUUGGGAAGAACACCGGUGGCGAAGGCGGCGACCUGGUUCAUUACUGACGCUGAGGCGCGAAAGCGUGGGGAGCAAACAGGAUUAGAUACCCUGGUAGUCCACGCCGUAAACGAUGUGUGCUGGAUGUUGGUCGACCUAGUUGUCUCAGUGUCGUAGCUAACGACGAUAAGACACACCGCCGUCGGGGUAGGUACGGGCCGGCCGAAGGUUAGGUAAACGUAACGAAAGUAAGUACGGACGNGNGACGNGCGACGACGACGACGACGGAGGAGG
RNAcentral lists this ribosomal RNA (614 nucleotides) under uncultured bacterium. RNAcentral describes it as "bacterial SSU rRNA". The stretch from base 1 to 521 matches the Rfam family "Bacterial small subunit ribosomal RNA", at positions 338 to 873 of the family's 1533-position model. The record is from RNAcentral.